This 253-nucleotide ribosomal RNA is filed under the name uncultured bacterium. Its description in RNAcentral is "partial 16S ribosomal RNA". It matches the Rfam family "Bacterial small subunit ribosomal RNA", at positions 524 to 776 of the family's 1533-position model. The record is from RNAcentral.
UACGUAGGGUGCGAGCGUUAAUCGGAAUUACUGGGCGUAAAGCGUGCGCAGGCGGUUUUGUAAGUCUGUCGUGAAAGCCCCGGGCUCAACCUGGGAAUGGCGAUGGAGACUGCAAGGCUAGAGUGUGUCAGAGGGGGGUAGAAUUCCACGUGUAGCAGUGAAAUGCGUAGAGAUGUGGAGGAACACCGAUGGCGAAGGCAGCCCCCUGGGAUAACACUGACGCUCAUGCACGAAAGCGUGGGGAGCAAACAGG